Molecule: long non-coding RNA, 1127 nt
Organism: Coregonus clupeaformis (lake whitefish)
Lineage: Eukaryota; Metazoa; Chordata; Actinopteri; Salmoniformes; Salmonidae
Exons: 2
Source: RefSeq, a predicted model, not a curated record
GCAUCAUCCGCUUGUCUACCAGGUAUAUAACGUUCCCAUACGAUGCAGGUGACCAGCCAAACAUCAAAGCGCAAUUUGCAGCGAUAGCCGGUUUUCCUAAUGUAAUCGGAGCGAUCGACUGCACACAUAUUGCUAUAAAGGCGCCAUCUGAAGACGAAUUUGCAUAUGUGAAUCGGAAACAUUUCCAUUCAAUAAAUGUGCAGAUUAUAUGUGAUGCACAAAUGCGCCUAACAAAUAUUGUGGCAAGGUGGCCUGGGUCAACCCAUGAUUCAUAUAUCCUUACAAACAGCAUGGUUGGGAUGAGACUCCAAGCUGGCAGGGUGCGCGAUGGGUGGCUACUUGGUAAGUUAUGCAUUUAAAUGUAUGGUUCUAUCUAAAAGUAAAAUGUUUGUGUCUGUAAUUAUUAUUACUGCCCAUCAGGAGACAGUGGUUAUCCACUAAAGACGUGGCUGUUAACCCCCCUCACCAACCCACAAACUGACCGAGAGCGCAGAUACAAUGAUGCCCAUUCCCGCACUCGGUCAGUUGUGGAGCGGGUGAUUGGGCAGCUGAAAUGUCGGUGGCGCUGCCUUGACAGGACCGGGGGGAUGCUGUUAUACCGCCCUGACAAGGUUUGCCGCAUCAUACUGGCCUGUGGAGUGCUGCACAAUGUCGCGCACAGGCAUGGCAUACCCCUUGGUGAGGUGGGGGCACCGCCAGAUGACCCUGACCCAGGACCAGUAUAUGUGCAGCACAAUCAACAAGCCAUUCAGGCCCGUCAACGUGUAAUUGCGACAAUAUAAAUGAACAGCAUGCGUCAAGACACGGCCAGAUGGACGGGCUUCAGCACUGGGGGGAACAUUAGAGACACGGGAGACGCUGGACUGAAUGGGCUCUGGCUGCUCAGGUGGUGCGGACUCUGAGUGCGUGCCAGUGGACGUUCCUGCGGUUCCUAAGUCCAAUUAAACACAGGCACAUCUUAACAGUAAUUUGAGUCUGUUCCUUAUUAAUGGGUACACGCAUUUGCAAUAAAAGCAGUGGAUACGUGAAAUCUCUGGUGUACCUUUUGCUAUAUUGCAUGCAUUUUAAAAUUAAACGGUGGCUGGCUAUGUAUAUCAAAGUUAAGGAAAUAAAUCUGAGUCACCUUG